Cinara cedri is the source of this 630-nucleotide non-coding RNA. The record is from the annotation of a GenBank genome assembly. Lineage: Eukaryota; Metazoa; Arthropoda; Insecta; Hemiptera; Aphididae.
AAUAGGCGGCGUAAAUAUUAACAAACCAAUUAUAACGCCAAAACGACGAGGGAUAAACUUGGCGAUACUUUGUAUACCUAUUGUAAGAGGGAAACGGUACAUGUUACGGACCGUGAUACGGGGCAGUGUAGACGGGCGUAGGGACGUAAACUCAUUUAAAAAAAUCAAAACGAAAUCGUAAACGAAUUUAAUAAAAAAAAAACUCUGGCGGCCGUAGCUGUUUUGGCGUACCGACACCAAAAUGUGCUGGGGGGGAAAAUCCGAUUCCGUAUAGCGACGGAGCUCUGCGGCUCACGGGUAGCGAAUGUUCUAUCCGUCGCGUUAGAUUUAACACUCAUAUGCAUCCACGCACGCGAUCCAACUGUUUAAUAUUAUAGACCGUUUUAUACUGAAACGGCGUGCCCAGAAAUGUUCAAUGGAAGGGGACGUAGUAAAUGAGAAUUGCGAAUAAAUCGUAAAAUCGUCUUGUCUACCCGGCUCCGACUAUGGGAAUUGGUAAUUUAAAAGCCGGAUCCUAAAAAAAAAAGCCAAUUUCUAACCAAUACAUCAGACUGUUCCUCGUAACUCGGCUAAAAUAUAAUAUCUGUUUCGGUAUUAGAUUACUAAUAUUUUGUUGUAUUUUUAAACCAA